This 378-nucleotide ribosomal RNA is filed under the name uncultured bacterium. Its description in RNAcentral is "bacterial SSU rRNA". It matches the Rfam family "Bacterial small subunit ribosomal RNA", at positions 29 to 407 of the family's 1533-position model. The record is from RNAcentral.
AGUGAACGCUGGCGGCAUGCCUAACACAUGCAAGUCGAACGGUAACAGGCCCGCAAGGGUGCUGACGAGUGGCGGACGGGUGAGGAAUACAUCGGAAUUUGCCCAGUCGUGGGGGAUAACGUAGGGAAACUUACGCUAAUACCGCAUACGACCUAACGGUGAAAGCGGGGGAUCGCAAGACCUCGCGCGGAUGGAUAAGCCGAUGUCGGAUUAGCUAGUUGGCGGGGUAAAGGCCCACCAAGGCGACGAUCCGUAGCUGGUCUGAGAGGAUGAUCAGCCACACUGGGACUGAGACACGGCCCAGACUCCUACGGGAGGCAGCAGGUGGGAAUAUUGGACAAGUGGGGGCAACCCUGAUCCAGCAAUGCCGCGUGUGUG